RNA transcript from Arachis stenosperma, 2283 nucleotides. RefSeq lists it as uncharacterized. The transcript is spliced from 3 exons. The record is from RefSeq and is a predicted model, not a curated record. Lineage: Eukaryota; Viridiplantae; Streptophyta; Magnoliopsida; Fabales; Fabaceae.
CAUAUCCGUAAUUUUUGGAUUAGAUUCGGAACACCGCAGAUCUGAUAUCUGGAUACCCCUACGACGAUCUUUUAUGCAAAUCAUGAAAAGUUCCUUUUGUAAUCAUAAUUUAAAUUGCUCCACUUCAUCAAAAUUCAAUAUUAACAUGACAAAACAAUAGGAUGUAGUAUCCAAACCAUCAAGGAUUCAUCAAAUAAAAAACAAAAAUAUCAUGUGUUCAUACAACUUGGUAAAGUAGAAAUGAAAAUACUAACUAAAAAAUUAUUCAAAACCUAGUUUCUUAAUCAGAAGGUUCAAAUGCAUAUCACAAAAUUGAAUUUAACCCAAGAAGAUAUUGCUAAUUGCAUCAUCAAGAAUGAGGGGCAGAGAAAAAGAUGGUAGAUGAUUUUUUAAAAAGUAAUUGUACAUAUACACGUUGUGUUAUUUUUCUACAUUCCUAUGUUUCUAAUUUUUUCUGAUCUUUGAUUUUAUUAUUCCUUAUCUAUUCUGAAUAAAUUAUGAUCUUAAUGUAAACAAUUUUAAGGGAUUUGAUCACAUGGAAUAAUUGAUCCCUUUUAACAGGAUUAGAAUAUUUAUAAUAAAUGAAUGAACCAACCAUUGAGGCCCAUAAUUCAAUAUCAACACAAUUCUACUUUUUGACCAUUACCAUGGCCACAGCAAGUUCUUCAUGCCUUUGGUUGACAUCUUUUUUGACCUUCGAUAUGCAUAGACCAAGAUAUUUACCAGCAGCACACCCAUGAUUGUUUUAAUCCUUGGCUCUUGGAUGCCCUUAGUAAUGCGUUCCAUGAUUCCUUUUCUAUUUCUGCAGAAUUGGAAAAAGGUUGAUUUCUCGGUUUGAUUCUCAAUUCUGGAUCACAGAAAAGAGAAUUGCACUUCUUAUUUCUCUUUGUGUGCACAAGCCUCAAUAAUUCUUUUGGUUUGGAAGAGAUCAAUAGUUUGUUGAAGUGUUCUCACAUUUCAAAUAUAUCGUUUUCCUACUUCAAUUGGAUAACACUGCAAAUAUUUUUAAGAAGCUCACAGACGAGUUUAGUGUACAAUCCAUUAUGUGGAGUUGAGAAUUAAGAAGCUUGAAACUUUUAAAAGCAUUAGAGUUGAGGAUUGUGAAUUUGUGACGUGUUGUGUGUGUGUGUGUGGAUUGUGGUAUUGCGACACCUUUGCAUGAAAAUUGUGAAUUUGUGAUCCUUAAAAACGUACAUAAUUCUUACACGAUAUCAAUUGGCUGAGUUUGAGCUGUGUGUCCUUGGUAAUCUUUGCCCAGAAAUUGUGGAGGAAGCUAUUGCUAUGGUUCCAUCUAUAAAGGUGCGAGCUUUGAAUGAUGAUGCUGUAAAGCAGGUUGAUGUAGUCACACCCUCUAUAUCCGUACAGGUUUGUUAAUUCUUAGUACAGAAGAAGCCAUGAUGUGUUGCUAGACUUUUGCUCAUGUUCAUUAGAAAUCAUUCAAAAUCAUUAUGUGAUGCCAUAAUGGUUGGGUUGACAUUUCCCUGAUCUGCAUUUGAAAGUGCAUCCAUUUACAUGUGCGCAUUGAAUUAUUAGAUUGCAUAGAUAGUAGAGAACUAAUGAAUGCAGUAUUAAUAAAUCUUUUGUUUGUUGAUAAGUGCAAUAUUAUUUUGAGUGGAAUAUAAUUUGGUGAAGUUCAUAAGACUGAUGCAGCAACUAAGUGGCCUUUAUGUUCAUAUGAGAAUCGGCCCCUAUAUCUGUGCUGAUGGAAUUUCGGUAAUCAAUCAAAUGUCCUAAAGAACUCUGAAAAACUUUAAAGAACUUUAGCUUUAACUUUGUCAUUGGAAUGUCCUAAAGAACUUCAGCUUUAACUUUGUCUCCAUAAUCACCGAUUUGGUGAAACGAUUCUGGUGAGCAAUUACUUGAUGACGGGUCCAUCGUCACCUAUAGUGCCACCUGAAAUCGCAUCCCAUGUUCUCUGUGAUGUUGAUUGUGAUGGAAUCCUCAAGAAUAUAUUUGAAUUUUACAUGCUUGAUUAAAUGCCUAUAAAACUCUUUGUAUCUUGCUUUAUUUGUUCUAACUCAGACUGGAAGAUUAAGAAGUUAGGUAAUGAAUGCAAUGGUAAUCAAUAAGAAUUAACUAAUAUAUGUGACUUUGGACUUACGAGCAUUAGCUUAUGAUUUUACAUGACUGAAAUGGAGUUAAAAAUGUGUAGUCACAUUGCCUUCAUUACUUAUAUUCUAUUGGAUCUGAAGAAACUAGAGAUGCAAUGGUAGUAUAUUUUGGGAUUGUAGUCAGAUUCUAUUAAUGAAAUUGGAGAGAGAAUUUUAGGCUCUCAAUUGAGGA